AUUAAAUUAGUUUAAAAAAAUAUUUGGCUUUUAUUUUAUUUAUUUAAUUAAAUUAUACUUAUAUAUAAUUAGUAUUUUUAAUAAUUAAUUUAAAAAAAAAUUUAAUAAUAUAUUUUUAUAUUUUAUAUUUAGAUUUUUUUUAGGAUAAAUCUUUUAUUUUUUAUUAAUUUUAUAAAUUUAUUUUCUUUUUUUUUAUUUAGCUUUUUUUUUACUUAAAAGAAAAUAUAUUUUAUUUUUUA
RNAcentral lists this transfer RNA (239 nucleotides) under Metarhizium anisopliae. RNAcentral describes it as "tRNA-Lys". Lineage: Eukaryota; Fungi; Ascomycota; Sordariomycetes; Hypocreales; Clavicipitaceae. The record is from RNAcentral.